This 726-nucleotide ribosomal RNA is filed under the name Bacillus tequilensis. Its description in RNAcentral is "bacterial SSU rRNA". It matches the Rfam family "Bacterial small subunit ribosomal RNA", at positions 55 to 763 of the family's 1533-position model. The record is from RNAcentral. Lineage: Bacteria; Bacillati; Bacillota; Bacilli; Caryophanales; Bacillaceae.
AUGCAAGUCGAGCGGACAGAUGGGAGCUUGCUCCCUGAUGUUAGCGGCGGACGGGUGAGUAACACGUGGGUAACCUGCCUGUAAGACUGGGAUAACUCCGGGAAACCGGGGCUAAUACCGGAUGGUUGUUUGAACCGCAUGGUUCAAACAUAAAAGGUGGCUUCGGCUACCACUUACAGAUGGACCCGCGGCGCAUUAGCUAGUUGGUGAGGUAACGGCUCACCAAGGCAACGAUGCGUAGCCGACCUGAGAGGGUGAUCGGCCACACUGGGACUGAGACACGGCCCAGACUCCUACGGGAGGCAGCAGUAGGGAAUCUUCCGCAAUGGACGAAAGUCUGACGGAGCAACGCCGCGUGAGUGAUGAAGGUUUUCGGAUCGUAAAGCUCUGUUGUUAGGGAAGAACAAGUACCGUUCGAAUAGGGCGGUACCUUGACGGUACCUAACCAGAAAGCCACGGCUAACUACGUGCCAGCAGCCGCGGUAAUACGUAGGUGGCAAGCGUUGUCCGGAAUUAUUGGGCGUAAAGGGCUCGCAGGCGGUUUCUUAAGUCUGAUGUGAAAGCCCCCGGCUCAACCGGGGAGGGUCAUUGGAAACUGGGGAACUUGAGUGCAGAAGAGGAGAGUGGAAUUCCACGUGUAGCGGUGAAAUGCGUAGAGAUGUGGAGGAACACCAGUGGCGAAGGCGACUCUCUGGUCUGUAACUGACGCUGAGGAGCGAAAGCGUG